GACCACGUAGCUCAGUUGGCAGAGCAUUGGGCUAGCAUUCCAACGGUCGUAGGUUCGAUUCCCACCGUGGUCA
This 73-nucleotide transfer RNA is filed under the name Paramuricea clavata. It matches the Rfam family "tRNA". From Rfam's summary of the family: Transfer RNA (tRNA) molecules are approximately 80 nucleotides in length. Their secondary structure includes four short double-helical elements and three loops (D, anti-codon, and T loops). Further hydrogen bonds mediate the characteristic L-shaped molecular structure. tRNAs have two regions of fundamental functional importance: the anti-codon, which is responsible for specific mRNA codon recognition, and the 3' end, to which the tRNAs corresponding amino acid is attached (by aminoacyl-tRNA synthetases). tRNAs cope with the degeneracy of the genetic code in two manners: having more than one tRNA (with a specific anti-codon) for a particular amino acid; and 'wobble' base-pairing, i.e. permitting non-standard base-pairing at the 3rd anti-codon position. Lineage: Eukaryota; Metazoa; Cnidaria; Anthozoa; Malacalcyonacea; Plexauridae. The record is from Rfam by way of RNAcentral.